RNAcentral lists this ribosomal RNA (440 nucleotides) under uncultured bacterium. Its description in RNAcentral is "partial 16S ribosomal RNA". It matches the Rfam family "Bacterial small subunit ribosomal RNA", at positions 338 to 795 of the family's 1533-position model. The record is from RNAcentral.
CCUACGGGAGGCAGCAGUGGGGAAUAUUGCACAAUGGGGGAAACCCUGAUGCAGCGACGCCGCGUGAGCGAUGAAGUAUUUCGGUAUGUAAAGCUCUAUCAGCAGGGAAGAAAAUGACGGUACCUGACUAAGAAGCCCCGGCUAACUACGUGCCAGCAGCCGCGGUAAUACGUAGGGGGCAAGCGUUAUCCGGAUUUACUGGGUGUAAAGGGAGCGUAGACGGUGGAGCAAGCCUGAUGUGAAAGGCCGGGGCUCAACCCCGGGACUGCAUUUGAAACUGUGGUACUAGAGUAUCGGAGAGGCAGGCGGAAUUCCUAGUGUAGCGGUGAAAUGCGUAGAUAUUAGGAGGAACACCAGUGGCGAAGGCAGCCUGCCGGAGGACGACUGACGCUGAGGCACGAAAGCGUGGGGAGCGAACAGGAUUAGAUACCCGGGUAGUC